UACAGAGACCUCAAGCGUUAUCCGGAAUCAUUGGGCGUAAAGCGUACCGAGCGGUGGUUGACAAAGGCAGACGUGAAAUCUCUCAGCUUAACUGGGAGACUGUCUUUUGAUACUUGUCAGCUCGAGGGGCAAAGAGGAAGCUGGAACGAACGGUGUAGUAGUGAAAUGCGUUGAUAUCGUUCGGAACACCAAUAGCGAAGGCAGGCUUCUGGGUGCCACCUGACACUGCUAGGACGAAAGCGUGGGGAGCGAAUGGG
This 257-nucleotide ribosomal RNA is filed under the name uncultured bacterium. Its description in RNAcentral is "partial 16S ribosomal RNA". It matches the Rfam family "Bacterial small subunit ribosomal RNA", at positions 524 to 776 of the family's 1533-position model. The record is from RNAcentral.